AGGGAACAGCAGAACACAUAUGACACACUGCUGUGACUGGAAGCCAAGAAACAAAAGACAAAAAGAUCAAAAUCUUUACAAACAGCCCAGCUCUUAAGGCUCAAAGGCCACAUUAUGAACAUCGAUGUUGUGGGUCGGAUCCGACCGGCACGAAGACCGGAACAAGGACACAGCCUGCAGACGUCGGCUGAAGGCAAGACCAUCUACACAACAUUGGGAGGAGGUGCCUCCUGCAGUUUUCAGGAGGUCUUCGACCCGAGCGUUUCCACCCGGGAGAUAUUCACCAAGACUGUGGAGCCCCUGAUCAACGUAUUCACGGAAGGAAUGAAUGUCUGUGUUGCCGUGUUUGGUGAAACUAACUCUGGGAAGACGCACACACUAAUCGGAGAAAAGAAUGACCGAUAUGCAA
Amblyraja radiata (thorny skate) is the source of this 409-nucleotide long non-coding RNA. RefSeq lists it as uncharacterized. NCBI's taxonomy places the organism in Eukaryota, Metazoa, Chordata, Chondrichthyes, Rajiformes, Rajidae. The transcript is spliced from 3 exons. The record is from RefSeq and is a predicted model, not a curated record.